UACGGAGGAUGCGAGCGUUAUCCGGAUUUAUUGGGUUUAAAGGGUGCGCAGGCGGAUUUUUAAGUCAGCGGUCAAAUCGUGGGGCUCAACCCCAUCCAGCCGUUGAAACUGGGGAUCUAGAGUGUGCGAGAGGUAUGCGGAAUGCGUGGUGUAGCGGUGAAAUGCAUUGAUAUCACGCAGAACCCCGAUUGCGAAGGCAGCAUACCGGUGCACAACUGACGCUCAGGCACGAAAGCGUGGGUAUCGAACAGG
This 252-nucleotide ribosomal RNA is filed under the name uncultured bacterium. RNAcentral's name for it is "partial 16S ribosomal RNA". It matches the Rfam family "Bacterial small subunit ribosomal RNA", at positions 524 to 776 of the family's 1533-position model. The record is from RNAcentral.